Molecule: ribosomal RNA, 562 nt
Filed under: Staphylococcus sp. 7V
Lineage: Bacteria; Bacillati; Bacillota; Bacilli; Caryophanales; Staphylococcaceae
Description: bacterial SSU rRNA
Rfam family: Bacterial small subunit ribosomal RNA
Source: RNAcentral
GGCCAAAGAAGUCGGNGCNUAUACAUGCAGUCGAGCGAACAGACAAGGGAGCUUGUCUCCUGUUGAUCGUUAGCGAGACGGACGGAGUGAGAUAACACAUUGAGGCUAGACCUAUCUCUAUAAUGAGCUGUGAGAUAAUCGUUCGAGAGAGAACCUGGUAGCUUAACUACACGAGAUAACUAUCUUACGCAACCUGCGAUGGGUUGCGAUAGAUGAAAUGAUGGUGUUUGCGUAUCACAUUACUAGAUGCGACUCCGCGCCGUUAUUAGACUAGUUGGUAAGGUAACGGCUUACCAAGGCGACGAUACUUAGCCGACCUGAGAGGGUGAUCGGCCACACUGGAACUGAGACACGGUCCAGACUCCUACGGGAGGCAGCAGUAGGGAAUCUUCCGCAAUGGGCGAAAGCCUGACGGAGCAACGCCGCGUGAGUGAUGAAGGUCUUCCGAUCGUAAAACUCUGUUAUUAGGGAAGAACAUACGUGUAAGUAACUAUGCACGUCUUGACGGUACCUAAUCAGAAAGCCACGGCUAACUACGUGCCAGCAGCCGCGGNUAAUACGA